GACGAACGCUGGCGGCGUGCCUAAUACAUGCAAGUCGAACGCACAGUUUAUACCGUAGCUUGCUACACCAUAGACUGUGAGUUGCGAACGGGUGAGUAACGCGUAGGUAACCUGCCUGGUAGCGGGGGAUAACUAUUGGAAACGAUAGCUAAUACCGCAUAAUAUUAAUUAUUGCAUGAUAAUUAAUUGAAAGGUGCAAUUGCACCACUACCAGACGGACCUGCGUUGUAUUAGCUAGUAGGUGAGGUAACGGCUCACCUAGGCGAGGAUACAUAGCCGACCGGCGAGGAUGAUCGGCCACACUGGGACUGAGACACGGCCCAGACUCCUACGGGAGGCAGCAGUAGGGAAUCUUCGGCAAUGGACGAAAGUCUGAGCGAGAAACGCCGCGUGAGUGAAGAAGGUUUUCGGAUCGUAGAGCUCUGUUGUAAGAGAAGAACGGGUGUGAGAGUGGAAAGUUCACACUGUGACGGUAUCUGACCAGAAAGGGACGGCUAACUACGUG
This 505-nucleotide ribosomal RNA is filed under the name uncultured bacterium. RNAcentral describes it as "partial 16S ribosomal RNA". It matches the Rfam family "Bacterial small subunit ribosomal RNA", at positions 28 to 507 of the family's 1533-position model. The record is from RNAcentral.